GUGGGGUUGUGGCUCAGCGGUAGAGCACUCAACUGGUAUGUGUGAGGCCCUGGGUUCGAUCCUCAGCACCACA
This 73-nucleotide transfer RNA is filed under the name Marmota monax (woodchuck). RNAcentral describes it as "tRNA.Thr". It matches the Rfam family "tRNA". Rfam says of the family: Transfer RNA (tRNA) molecules are approximately 80 nucleotides in length. Their secondary structure includes four short double-helical elements and three loops (D, anti-codon, and T loops). Lineage: Eukaryota; Metazoa; Chordata; Mammalia; Rodentia; Sciuridae. The record is from RNAcentral.